AUGCCCGAGCGACGCUCCCAAUCUAGGAGCGGCACCAGGACGACCACGCCCCCGAAGCCUAAACUGCAAGUUUAUUUUCAGAGUACUUGUUGUGUGCAAAAUCCUACCCUGGCGCAUGUUGUUGGUUGUUUAAUUCUGGAAUCACAAGUUAAUGCAUUUUGCUAUGUGGGUACCCAGCCAUCCAGUAUGUCGUCUGCAUUCCUAAUGGCUCUUCUAUCCGUGCAUCAACACCAAUAUUGGAUACAAGCUUUCCAAUCGCCACCACAUCUUGGUCUGGAAGGACAGAAGCGGCAUGAGAUUUCUUAG
RNAcentral lists this ribosomal RNA (306 nucleotides) under Triticum aestivum (bread wheat). RNAcentral's name for it is "partial small subunit ribosomal RNA". The record is from RNAcentral. Lineage: Eukaryota; Viridiplantae; Streptophyta; Magnoliopsida; Poales; Poaceae.